AUACGAAAGGUGCAAGCGUUGUUCGGAUUUACUGGGCGUAAAGAGAGUGUAGGUGGUUUAUUAAGUCGGAUGUUAAAUCCCGGGGCUCAACCUCGGAACUGCAUUCGAUACUGAUAGGCUAGAGUUUGGGAGGGGUAAGCGGAAUUCCGUGUGUAGCAGUGAAAUGCGUAGAUAUACGGAGGAACACCUGAGGCGAAGGCGGCUUACUGGACCAAUACUGACACUGAGACUCGAAAGCGUGGGUAGCAAACAGGAUUAGAUACCCUAGUAGUCC
RNAcentral lists this ribosomal RNA (274 nucleotides) under uncultured bacterium. RNAcentral describes it as "partial 16S ribosomal RNA". It matches the Rfam family "Bacterial small subunit ribosomal RNA", at positions 523 to 796 of the family's 1533-position model. The record is from RNAcentral.